GCAAGUCGAACGAUCCCUCAUUCUGUGGGGGAUAGUGGCAAACGGGUGAGUAACGCGUGAGUGAUUUACCUUAAGGUUGGGAAUAACUCGCCGAAAGGCGAGCUAAUACCGAAUAAGACCACGAUUUCCAAGAAAUAGUGGUUAAAGAUGGGGAUCCUGAAAAUGGACCUGUCACCUUUAGAUGAGCUCGCGUCCUAUCAGCUUGUUGGUGGGGUAAAAGCCUACCAAGGCAAUGACGGGUAGCUGGUCUGAGAGGAUGGUC
RNAcentral lists this ribosomal RNA (262 nucleotides) under uncultured bacterium. Its description in RNAcentral is "partial 16S ribosomal RNA". It matches the Rfam family "Bacterial small subunit ribosomal RNA", at positions 57 to 305 of the family's 1533-position model. The record is from RNAcentral.